RNAcentral lists this unclassified non-coding RNA (204 nucleotides) under Hevea brasiliensis (rubber tree). The record is from RNAcentral. Lineage: Eukaryota; Viridiplantae; Streptophyta; Magnoliopsida; Malpighiales; Euphorbiaceae.
GGACGAGGUGCUAUUGUCACGACAUUCAUAGUGUGCUAUGCUCUUACCUCGUUCAUUUCUGGCUAUGUGAGUGGCGGUCUCUACUCAAGGAGUGGUGGAAAAAACUGGAUAAAGUCAAUGGUCCUCACGGCAUCAUUGUUUCCAUUCAUGUGCUUUGGGAUCGGCUUCGUACUUAACACAAUUGCUAUAUUCUAUGGAUCGCUA